This 450-nucleotide ribosomal RNA is filed under the name uncultured bacterium. RNAcentral describes it as "partial 16S ribosomal RNA". It matches the Rfam family "Bacterial small subunit ribosomal RNA", at positions 354 to 796 of the family's 1533-position model. The record is from RNAcentral.
GUGGGGAAUAUUCCGCAAUGGACGAAAGUCUGACGGAGCAACGCCGCGUGAGUGAUGAAGGUUUUCGGACUGUAAAGCUCUGUUGUUUAGGACGAAAGUGCCUGUUGCAAACAGUUACAGGUAUUGACGGUACUAAACGAGGAAGCCACGGCUAACUACGUGCCAGCAGCCGCGGUAAUACGUAGGUGGCAAGCGUUGUCCGGAAUUAUUGGGCGUAAAGAGAAUGUAGGCGGGAAUCUAAGUCUGUUGUGAAAAUGCGGGGCUCAACCCCGUAUUGCGAUGGAAACUGGGUUUCUUGAGUGCAGGAGAGGAAAGGGGAAUUCCCAGUGUAGCGGUGAAAUGCGUAGAUAUUGGGAGGAACACCAGUGGCGAAGGCGCCUUUCUGGACUGUGUCUGACGCUGAGAUGCGAAAGCCAGGGUAGCGAACGGGAUUAGAAACCCUUGUAGUCC